UCACUAAUGGAAACUUCAUUUAAUAUUUACAAAACAUUGACAGGGUGAUUUUACAGCCGUUUUUAAAUUUUUUUAGACUCAGACAGACGGAAGAUUAAACGUCAACAGAGAGUUUCUGGUGAUCAGAAGCUGAGAGAAAUGUUUUUAAUGAACACACAAUUUAUUCCCACAGACACACACACACACACACACACACACACACACACACACACACACACACACACACACACACACACACACACAGGGAGUAAAGGAAAUACAACCAGAUAAAGGAGGAAUGUAUGUAUCAUUCACACAACACAACAUUAUGCAACUGUGACGUGUUAACUAAAGGUUUAGACAUGUGGAGCUGCAAUUUCUGGGUGGUAUGAUGAAAGAUACACACACACACCUACACACGCAAACUCACACACUUAUAGACUGUGAUGUUGAAAUAUACGGGGUUGAAUGUGUGUGCAAUUUCCUUGCCAACACUGUGAGCACUGUUUGGCCAAACAAUAGCACGUUAUGUAAGGUGGAGUUUGCAGUAACUGUGAUAAAUAUUCCUAAAAAUACAUCUCUGACAAGUAAACACACUCUGAACUUAAAAAAAAACAACUAAAUAUGAUUGUUUUCAUCAGUUUUUCUGCUCCUUUAUAAAACAAAAUAAUGGGAUCCAAUAGAAGCUUCACUGUAGUAAACUUCCCCAACAUUGAUCGAUCACAGAUUUAACUCAAGCUCCUUAAACUUCAACAUAAUCUCUGUUUGAAAACAUCAAAUCUUUGAGAGCCAAAUGUCAGAGUGACUUCAGCUGAAGCAGUCCACUGAAGCUGUCACAGGUCCAGUAUAAUCAGUAGCUCUCUUUAUGGUCUCUAUGGCUGUAAAUGUUACAGGUGAAGUAGCUCCUAAUCAAGCUUUACUGCUUUAUGAGCUGUUACUGAGUCUGUUUGACCUUUGGUACUGACCAGCACGCUCACGUCUCGGCAUGUGAUGUGCCGCUCUGUGCCUUUGAACAGAGCGCCAUCAGUGAUCACAUCCACCUAAAUUACCCCACAUGAAAAGAUCAGGUUGGAUAGUUGAUGGUGUGAAGAUGAGCUGAUGAAUAUUCAGCGGUUUAUUUAAGGUUUGGGAUGACAACAUCAGCUAGAUUACUUUGACCCUUGUGAUCCUCUGAGUUUUCUCUCUAGUCUCACUGUGAGGGUGACAUUUUUAAUCUUAAAAGUCAUAAUAAUAUUAAUAAUUACUUUUACCCAGCUGUAGUAAAUACCUUUGAUACUGACUGCUGGUUUAUGGAUCAUCAGUAAAGGACAGAAACAGCCUGAACCAGAUAGUAAAAGUCUGCUCCAAAAUUAUUAGCGUACAGCUGAUGAACCUGAGCUCCAGAAAGCCAGAGGAAUUAUGGACCAGCCAGGACACAUCCUCUACUCCGACUUUUCUCUUAUGCCCUCUGGGAGGCGCUACUAUGCACCCCCAUGGAAAAAGAUUGGUACUCUAACUCAUUUAUCCCCUCAGCGAUCAGGCUGCUAAAUGCUGGGAAGUACCUGAUUGGUGGCCUGUGUGGAAAUUGGGGUCUCUGGGUUGUUUUAGUUCUUAUUUUACUUCUUUUAUGGCAUUGCUUCUUAUUGCAUUUUAGCCAUUUCACUGUUGAACGUAUUCAGCAUGUAUUUAUUUAUUCUAUUUAUUCAUUUAUUGCUGAUUUGUGGUGCUGACAGGAGAAUGUUUAGGCCAUAUGCUGCUGUGAAUGUCUGGCAUUUGUCUGUUCCUUGAUCGUUUAAAAACCAGGUGGGUUUACUGUGAAAUGAACUGUCCUUCGGAGAUUAAUGAAAUUGUCUGAAUCUAAAUACUCAAUUCUUCAGGAGCAACCUGACCACAUACAUUACAUUGAAUCAAUCAGCUGAAGGGUCCAGCACGCUUCACCUCUGCCUGUUGACACUAAGUCAAAACAAACAUUUCCAUUAGCUUUCUAAAUUAGCAGGCUAAACGAUAUGGAAGGUGUUUUGAUUGUACUUUUAAGUAAGUUAUGAAGCAGAAACUUUGGAUUCAGGAUUAAUGGAUAAAAACUCUCCAAAAAAAAAAAAGAGAGAGAAGAGGAAAUCAGUGCUGAAACAGUAUGAGAGAUGUCCACCAAACUCAGCUCGACAAACACAAAGCAAAAACAAACUGUUGAAAGAUCUAGAUUGGGGGAUUGUUCAAGGACUGAUUGAGGGAACAGAAAAUGACAAUAGACUUAAAAAGGGAAGAAGCAGUCGAGGCUUAAAUCUGUGACUACAGUUGUUUUGUGCAUCGAUGCAACAUACCAAGAAAGAAACUGCUAAUAGCUUGACUUCUCUGUGAAUGAAACGUGAAGUUUAAUGUGUUUGUCAGACAGGCAGGUUAAGGUUUUAUAUUGGAUUGAAUUGUUGGGUUGAUUAAUCCCACAAGCAGGCUGAUAUGGAUCUGUUACCAUGGAAUCAAUGCAUCAUUCUAAAAUCAAUUAAACUUGUCUUUUUAUACAUAUUUUAUGUCAUUUUAGCUGUAACUUCCCACUGAGCAACAGACGACUAUUAAACAGCUAGUUUUUCAUUUUCCUAAUUCCAACCGUCUAGAUUCUGUAUAUUUUUAGACGUUGCACUUAAACCCUUCAACUAUUUAUUUCAAAAAGCAACUGUGAGUCGCAUGACUGAUUUCCAAGUACUUAACCAAAAUAAUUAUGAUAGCCGUUGAGCAAUAGACAAUGCAGUAUAGAUAAAGCCCAAAUUUAGACUUGGUCUAAACUUGGUCUAAAUUUAGACAUCUAAAAAACGUUUAUUUUUAGACCUGUGGUAGCCUGAUUUCAGACCAGUCGUCUAGGCUACAUUUAGACGUCUGUCAGACCUCUUUUAAAAAUGCUCAGUGGGUUCUGUUGUCGAUAUAAAAAAAUAAGCAGGAUAAUACAUACUAAUGUUGUAGGAUCACCAAGAGGACUGUUAGAAUCAGCUGCUCUCUAUAAAGACAAAGAUAUUAUACUAAUCCAGAGCGGGAAAUUGCACUGUUACAGCAGCUCCAGUCACAGUCACAACACAUCAUUCAAUAAUGGACAUUAAAGUCACAUCGCUGUGUCUUAACCCUCACUUGGAUAGAUUGAUAUAAUAUUUACGGCGUCCCUAUCCACCUUUAUCACUCGAUGAAUGAGGUAUCCAGAGUUUAUGCAAAACUUCACCCGAUCUUCUGUAUCAAUGGAUCACUGACAAUAUUAUAAUGGAGUGAUACCUUUUUAUAUUAAAGUGUGAAUUAAAACUAAAGGCUCUAAAGAAAACGAUCAACUUUCCCAGAGGAAACCCAAACCAUUACACCCUCAUCCCAAGUUCUUUGCUCUACCGAUAAGUUAUGCAGCCAAAACAUGAAGUUAGAUGCUAAAGAUGGGUGGCAAGAACCUGUGCAUCAACAGGUUUAUCAUCUGGACAUCUUACGUCACCAGAAUUUUAUCAAGUUAAACCUUGAGGAGGUUCAACAAUCAGCUUGAGUGUCCUGCAAACAACCCCAACUCCUCCCAGAUGUUGUCUGUCUCCUUCUCCGGUAAGAUAAAUAUCUGCUCCUCACAACAGCAAUAUUUAGAACCGAAGAAGCUUCUUGGAUAAGAGGCCAAACAUCUUCUCAACUCUACACAGUCCAGUUGCCUGAUUUUGGAGUCUUCAGGAAAACCGUGACCUGGAUGAUUGAGAAUCUAGAUGGACUCAUACCAACCGUUAUACCCACAGGUGGUAGAAGAGGGAGGACAGAGACGGUAAAGCCAGGGUGAGGAGUCCCGUCACUCAUGUUCUAGCUGGGAGUAUUUCUCAUAAAUCUGACACUGUUUUGAGCAGCAAACUCUGAGGGGCUAAUCACAGAAAUGGUUGAAUUGUUUAAUGCUGAACAUCACACUCACUGCUUUCUCAGACAACAUAGUUAGGAUCCAUAUAUGACGUUGACAUCUCCAGUUUUAAACGCCAUCUCCCUGGCUCUCUCUCUCUCUCUCUCUCUCUGGAGUGUGUCUCACCGGGGUUGUGGGAGGAUACAUGCAUGUGGUGGAGCUCAGUGCAGGGCCGGGCCGGGCCGGGCCGGGCCGGGGUGGAGUGUGGAAGGAUAAAUAGAUGCCAAGUCAAAUAAAACAAAACUUCGAGCAACGGCACGACCCCUGGCGCUGCGCUCAGCCUGGCAGUGAGACACAUAAACACACACUCAUGCGCACACACGGUAGGCGUCCUCUUGGUGAUCCCUCUCACUCUCUGUUCACUUGACCACAGAAUUAAGAAAACCUCCACACAGAUGCAGAUUUUCGACCACUCAUGAAAGAAUCAGACAGAGCAGGUGCACACAGAAACACAUGAUGGUCGGGCCGUCAGCACAGGCAUGCACAGGACAUGGGCAGGGCUGCUCGGUCAGGGGUUCUAAGGCUUUCAAAUAAAAUCCACAUGAGCACCACAGAAAUCCUGACAGAUUAGUGGAGUCUAAGCGAGGCUGGCUCUGGUGGUCUGCAGGGUGUGCCCACCUCAUCAGCAGGCGUACGGUCUACUUGCUGAUCGCUCUCAUUAGGAGUGGAGGGUGUGCACCUGAACCUGACUCUCUUUGUAGCUGCUUCAUGGAAAUCUCCACUGAGGAGGAGUGUUUGUUUAGGAUCAGCUCUUGAGCUGUGUCUUUAAAACAGAACACUCAGGAGCACCGACAGGAUUAAUUACAGUCUUUUGUUAAUUACAGUUAUUCUUACGUUGAUCCCCGUCCAAGUCUGGUGUUUUGACCUCGCCGAGGUACGGUCAAAGGUCGUUUAAAGAGCACGAUUUCUGAGACUGCCAACAUAUGAGAUGAGCCUUACUUUGAUACUGACAGCAGAGGUGCAGGAAUAGAAAUACAAGAGUGGGACUUUAAACUCAUGAGCCUCACCGAAGCAAACAAAGCAAGAGCCGGCAGGUCGGUCUUCAGCUGGUGAAGAUUUUAACGAU
Xyrichtys novacula (pearly razorfish) is the source of this 4913-nucleotide non-coding RNA. The record is from the annotation of a GenBank genome assembly. Lineage: Eukaryota; Metazoa; Chordata; Actinopteri; Labriformes; Labridae.